RNAcentral lists this non-coding RNA (836 nucleotides) under Pseudophyllus titan. Its description in RNAcentral is "12S ribosomal RNA". The stretch from base 414 to 829 matches the Rfam family "Microsporidia small subunit ribosomal RNA", at positions 752 to 1303 of the family's 1311-position model. The record is from RNAcentral. Lineage: Eukaryota; Metazoa; Arthropoda; Insecta; Orthoptera; Tettigoniidae.
UAUUUAGGUUUCUGAAAGAAGAUCCAUUUUAUUAAUUAAGAAAUGUAAAUUUUAUUCUGGUUUUGUUAAUUCAUUUUUUGAUUAUUUUAUAUGUAAAUUUUAGUGUGAAAGUAGAAAAUCUUAAUGGUUUUAUUUUAUACGCAGUAUUGAAUAUUAAUUAUUAGAGUCAUCUAGAAUUAGUAAUUUGAUUUAAUAUUGGCUAAAAGCGUGCCAGCUGCCGCGGUUAUACGUGAAAUAUAUGUGAAUUAUUUCGGUAGUGAAGUUAAUUGUUUUGUUUUAAAUGUUAAUUUGUUUUUGAAGGUGAAAUUUAAUUAAUUAAAUAAUUUUAUUAAGUUAAAAUGAGGCUUUGAAGUUCUAAUAUUAAACUAGGAUUAGAUACCCUAUUAUAUAGAAUGUAAAUUUGUUUAAAUCUUGAGUAGUAGUAGUUAAGUUCUUGAAACUCAAAGAAUUUGGCGGUGCUUUAGUCUUGUCAGAGGAAUUUGUCCUAUAAUUGAUAAUACGCAAUUUAGUUUACUUAAUUUUGAAAUUUCAGUUUGUAUACCGCCGUCAUAAGAGUAUCUUUGGAGAGUAUUUUCUUAAUAUUUUAUUUUAAAUUUGAAGUAGGAUGUCAGGUCAAGGUGCAGCUUAUAGUUAAGUUGAGAUGAAUUACAAUAAAAAUAUUUAUUAACGGAUAUUAAUUUGGGAAAGUUAAUUGAAGGUGGAUUUGAAAGUAAUAUUGUUUUAUUAUGAUAAUAUGAUUAUAGCUCUAUAGCAUGUACACAUCGCCCGUCGCUCUCGUUUUAAGAUGAGAUAAGUCGUAACAUAGUAAGUGUACUGGAAAGUGCACUUAGUUAGAU